This 519-nucleotide ribosomal RNA is filed under the name uncultured bacterium. RNAcentral's name for it is "bacterial SSU rRNA". It matches the Rfam family "Bacterial small subunit ribosomal RNA", at positions 8 to 518 of the family's 1533-position model. The record is from RNAcentral.
AGAGUUUGAUUCUGGCUCAGGAUGAACGCUAGCGGCAGGCUUAACACAUGCAAGUCGAGGGGCAGCGGGAUGUAGCAAUACAUUGCCGGCGACCGGCGGAUGGGUGCGUAACGCGUAUGCAACCUACCUUAUACAGGGGAAUAACCUUUCGAAAGGGAGACUAACACCCCAUAGUAUUGAUUUAAGGCAUCUUAGAUUAAUUAAAUAUUUAUAGGUAUAAGGAUGGGCAUGCGUAUGAUUAGCUAGUUGGUAAGGUAACGGCUUACCAAGGCGACGAUCAUUAGGGGUUCUGAGAGGAAGGUCCCCCACACUGGUACUGAGACACGGACCAGACUCCUACGGGAGGCAGCAGUGAGGAAUAUUGGUCAAUGGGCGCAAGCCUGAACCAGCCAUGCCGCGUGCAAGGAAGACGGCCUUAUGGGUUGUAAACUGCUUUUACAUAAGACUAACCGUAUAUUUGCGAAUAUACCUGAAUGUAUUAUGAGAAUAAGGAUCGGCUAACUCCGUGCCAGCCGCCGC